AAGCGGCAGCGUCUGCGCGGCCAUGGGUAGGUGCGUACGUGUGUUCUCGUGUGCAGGGUGAACACACGUGCCCAGGCGUGUUUACACGUGCAUACAGCUGCCAACAUGUCUGUGAGUACAGGUGAGUGGUACGUGUCUGUCCUCAUAUGCAGGGUGAACACACGUGGCCAGGUGUGUUUAUGAGGGCAUAGAAGUGCCAAUAUGUGUGUGCGUGUGAGCACAGGUGAGUGCAGGUGGGUACGUAAUGUGUGUCCCCAUGUGCAGAUGAGCACAUACACGUGUGUCAGAGUGAACACGUGCCCAGGUGUGUUUACACGAGCACACAAGUGCCAACAUGCAUGUGAGCACAGGUGAGUACAGGUGUGUGAGCACAUACAUGUGCAGGUGAGCUACAAGUGAGAUACACGUGGGGCGACACACCUCUGCGUGGAGGUGAUGUGUGGGUGCUGGUAGGCACCUCUGUGUGUGUGCGUGCGUGCGCGCGUGUUCAAGUACAGGUGAAGCUCACACGUGUUCACACAUGUCCCCCUUCUCGUGCUCCCCGCGAUUCCGGCGGUUCCCGGCCGGUUCCCGGCACCGCUGACGCGAUUUCCCCCCGCCGGCGGGGACGUCGGGGGUUUGGGGACGAAAAACGGCCGAUUCGGGGAUGUACAUCUCCUGCCGGCGGGAACCAACUGUAACCUACUUGAGCGGGGGAGUUAUGGGGUGGAGGUGACUCUAAUUGCUCAAUAAUUUGAUUAAAAUGACAGUUAACGGCGCUUCGGCGGCUCUUUCGCGGCAGCCAAACUCAUCCCAAAUCCCGCCGCACUCCGAACCCCUGCGACCCCCCGGAGCGCUUUUGGGGCUCCCUCUCCUUCCCGAAAUCCCCCCAUUAAGCCGAACUCGUGCUGUCCAGGCCCGAAUUCCCUGUUGGAGCACGGGGCUGAGCCGGGAAUAGCGCGGGAGCGGAGCCAAAUCGUGACGGCGGAACAUCUGCACCCUGGCUUGAACAAGAUACUCCACAGACACAACGACCUUCAAGCCCAGAACUUUGGAGGAGCUCCAAAGACUGGACGUGCUUUGAGGAAGAUGAAGACAAGAAAGAGGGGGUCCCAGAGCCCCCUGCCUCAAUUUCCAGAGGGGUGUGCCAGGAGGAGGAUCUGGGGGGUGGAUAGAUCUGGGACUGGUUUGGAUAAUACCUUAAAUUGUGGAACCCCGUGGACACGGCAGGCGUGUCAUAUGUAUUCACUGGGCCUCAGGCCUGAAAUUAAAGGACCUACUCUCUUUA
Molecule: long non-coding RNA, 1267 nt
Organism: Chiroxiphia lanceolata (lance-tailed manakin)
Lineage: Eukaryota; Metazoa; Chordata; Aves; Passeriformes; Pipridae
Exons: 2
Source: RefSeq, a predicted model, not a curated record